This 396-nucleotide ribosomal RNA is filed under the name uncultured Aspergillus. Its description in RNAcentral is "partial small subunit ribosomal RNA". It matches the Rfam family "Eukaryotic small subunit ribosomal RNA", at positions 30 to 432 of the family's 1831-position model. Lineage: Eukaryota; Fungi; Ascomycota; Eurotiomycetes; Eurotiales; Aspergillaceae. The record is from RNAcentral.
GCUUGUCUCAAAGAUUAAGCCAUGCAUGUCUUAGUGUAAAUAACUCUUAUGAAACUGCGAAUGGCUCAUUAAAUCAGUUAUCAAAUACGUGAUGGUCGCCUACUACAUGGAUAACCGUAGUAAUUCUAGAGCUAAUACAUGCUAAAAACCCCGACUUCGGGAGGGGUGUAUUUAUUAGAUAAAAAACCAAUGCCCCUCGGGGCUCCUUGGUGAAUCAUAAUAACUUAACGAAUCGCAUGGCCUUGCGCCGGCGAUGGUUCAUUCAAAUUUCUGCCCUAUCAACUUUCGAUGGUAGGAUAGUGGCCUACCAUGGUGGCAACGGGUAACGGGGAAUUAGGGUUCGAUUCCGGAGAGGGAGCCUGAGAAACGGCUACCACAUCCAAGGAAGGCAGCAGG